AUGUCUUCACCGCCGCCAAGCCCGUCUCUUCCGCUGCCGGUCACCUUGUCGCCUCCGGCGACCACCACGACCGUCGCCCCACUCCUGCCCGCGCCGGGAUCCUCUGUCGCGCCCGCCCCCGCUGUCCUCACCUGGGAGGAGGUGUCCGGGGUGCUGCGGGACCUAACCCAGGCGGUCCAAGAGAUCCGCCUGUUCUUGGCGGGGUCCCACGGACCGCACCCGGCUGCGCCGCCCAUCCCCGCGUCGCCGUGGCUGCCGUGGCAGCCGCCGCACCAGGCGGCCUUCGCCGCGCCGCUGCAGCUGCCAUCCAUCGCCACCACCGCCCAACCCUGGCUGCAGUGGCAGCCGCCGCUCCUAGCGGCCUCCGCCGCGCCGCUGCAGCUGCCAUCCAUCGCCACCACCGCCCAACCCUGGCUGCAGUGGCAGCCGCCGCUCCUAGCGGCCUCUGCCGCGACCGGCGCUCCGCCGCAGCAGCCGCUGCCGCUGCCCGGCACGACACCGCAGCAGCCGCUGCAGCUGCAGCAGCCACCGCCGGUGAGCUCCGCCGCCCAGUAUGGGAUGCCCUACAACGGGAGUGCGACGACCUCGUUCCCAUCAGCGCCGCCGCCAUCCCAGGGCGUCCACAUCCAGCAGAUCAAGUCCCCGCCGUCGCCGUCACCGCUUCCGUCUUGGAUUGCUACCCGCCACGUGUCGGCGGCGGUGAGGCUGCAGGCUGCUGCACGCGGCUUCCUAGCGCGUCGGCGUGUGCGGGAGAUGUGUGGUCUGCAGCUGCCGCUCCUCCAAGUUUCCCUUGGCUGCGCAAAGGACCUCGAUCCCGUCUGCUGCGUCGGGGAUCUUGGGCAUGCGGUUUCCCCCACGGGCGGCGAGCAUGCUGUUUUCUCCGCGGGCAGCGACCUCAAAGUCUGUGACAUCGGCGGUUGGGGAGGCGCACCCCUCCUCGUCAUUCUCCAUCGCAAGCCCUCCACUCUUCCUUGUGCGGUGCAGACCAACAGCAGUCCGGCGGGGAGAAGGCAGGGUGUCACCGACAGGAGCACACCGCGUAGCACCACUGCUUUCCGCCGCCGGCCGCCGCGAGGGCGGCUCUGCUGGUCGCUCUUGCGACCACUUCCAGGUGGCCAUACACAUGCACUCCUUUGGUCCAGGUGGUGUCCAUGGGAUCCAGGUGGCUGUACACGUGCACGUCCGACGUGCUGA
Molecule: ribosomal RNA, 1194 nt
Filed under: Triticum aestivum (bread wheat)
Lineage: Eukaryota; Viridiplantae; Streptophyta; Magnoliopsida; Poales; Poaceae
Description: partial small subunit ribosomal RNA
Source: RNAcentral